This 95-nucleotide transfer RNA is filed under the name Moniliophthora perniciosa FA553. It matches the Rfam family "tRNA". From Rfam's summary of the family: Transfer RNA (tRNA) molecules are approximately 80 nucleotides in length. Their secondary structure includes four short double-helical elements and three loops (D, anti-codon, and T loops). Lineage: Eukaryota; Fungi; Basidiomycota; Agaricomycetes; Agaricales; Marasmiaceae. The record is from Rfam by way of RNAcentral.
GGCCGACUAGCUCAGUUGGUUAGAGCGUCGUGCUAAUAUGCCAGUUAACACUAAUCUUAACGCGAAGGUCUUGGGUUCGAUCCCCACGUUGGCCA